GCAGAUUUCAGAUUUCGGUGUUACAAGGACUGAUGUUGGAACUUAUUGCUAUAAGCAAGCGAGCAUAAUUUUAUCCAGUGUGAACUAAAAAUUAUCUAAAUUUGGGAACUAUUAUAUAGACGAAUAAAGCUUCGAUGUUGGAUGAAGUGAUAGAUUAUUUAAAGAAGCUACAGACACAAGUGAAGUUAAUGAAUAGCAUGUCAAUUCCACCACCACAAAUGAUGAUACCAGUACCCCUACAAUUGCAACAACAAGAAAACCACCUUCACAUGUCAAUGCUAGCCCAAAUGGGAAUGGGAUAAGGCUUUCAGAUGGGCAUGCAGUAUGCCCCUGCCACUGUAUGAUACUCUACAGUUGAGGCCAACCAUUGACCAUUGUCUUUUAGUUGAAACAAUGUCAGUAAAGGGAAGACAACCACUUGCCAGCGAGGGAUCUCUGUGUCAUCAGCAUUCAUCGACGCCGAUCAGUUUUGGGUUGCAUGUACCAACUACCAACCCUAAUCCGAAUUGUUUAUACGGGUUUCUUUCCACCUAAUUACACCAUAUGUCUUGCGCUCCUAAUACCUCCCACCUACUUACACCGUGCUUAUGCUAAUUCUGGUUCCUUCAGCCUCUUCAACGUGCGUCUACAAAGAUGUAGGCAUUGCUGUUGGAAUGUAAUGUUAAUGUCAGAAUCACAAAAACAUUUAUUUUGAGAAUUCAGCUCCUGAGGUGUUUUUUUAGAAACAUUCCCAUAUCCUAAUUGAUACCUGCUGAUAGCCGUGAGUGGGGAUUUAAGACAACAAUGGACCUGGGAGAAUUUGUGAACUAAGUGGACCAACUCAGAGAUUCCGUUCGUUAGAUAAUGCUGUUGGUUUACUAAAACUGUAUGUAGAAGGUUUUGUAUUUCAAAUUGUCGUUGUAAUCUAUUAUAUUGGUUUGUGUUUUAACGUGUAUAAAAUCAUCAUAUUUAUGUCAAUGGUGAUAAUGAAGAUA
Molecule: long non-coding RNA, 974 nt
Organism: Helianthus annuus (common sunflower)
Lineage: Eukaryota; Viridiplantae; Streptophyta; Magnoliopsida; Asterales; Asteraceae
Exons: 5
Source: RefSeq, a predicted model, not a curated record